RNAcentral lists this ribosomal RNA (605 nucleotides) under proteobacterium enrichment culture clone E45. RNAcentral's name for it is "bacterial SSU rRNA". It matches the Rfam family "Bacterial small subunit ribosomal RNA", at positions 109 to 749 of the family's 1533-position model. Lineage: Bacteria; Pseudomonadati; Pseudomonadota. The record is from RNAcentral.
AGGAACACGUGGGAACGUGCCUUUUGGUUCGGAACAACUCAGGGAAACUUGAGCUAAUACCGGAUAAGCCCUUCGGGGGAAAGAUUUAUCGCCAUUAGAGCGGCCCGCGUCUGAUUAGCUAGUUGGUGAGGUAAAGGCUCACCAAGGCGACGAUCAGUAGCUGGUCUGAGAGGAUGAUCAGCCACACUGGGACUGAGACACGGCCCAGACUCCUACGGGAGGCAGCAGUGGGGAAUCUUGCGCAAUGGGCGAAAGCCUGACGCAGCCAUGCCGCGUGAAUGAUGAAGGUCUUAGGAUUGUAAAAUUCCUUCACCGGGGACGAUAAUGACGGUACCCGGAGAAGAAGCCCCGGCUAACUUCGUGCCAGCAGCCGCGGUAAUACGAAGGGGGCUAGCGUUGCUCGGAAUUACUGGGCGUAAAGGGAGCGUAGGCGGAUAGUUCAGUCAGAGGUGAAAGCCCAGGGCUCAACCUUGGAAUUGCCUUUGAUACUGGCUGUCUUGAGUAUGGGAGAGGUUAGCGGAACUCCGAGUGUAGAGGUGAAAUUCGUAGAUAUUCGGAAGAACACCAGUGGCGAAGGCGGCUAACUGGCCCAUUACUGACGCUGA